RNAcentral lists this ribosomal RNA (618 nucleotides) under Burkholderia sp. IBa289. RNAcentral's name for it is "bacterial SSU rRNA". It matches the Rfam family "Bacterial small subunit ribosomal RNA", at positions 391 to 1001 of the family's 1533-position model. The record is from RNAcentral. Lineage: Bacteria; Pseudomonadati; Pseudomonadota; Betaproteobacteria; Burkholderiales; Burkholderiaceae.
GCAAUGCCGCGUGUGUGAAGAAGGCCUCUCGGGUUGUAAAGCACUUUUGUCCGGAAAGAAAUCCUUGGCUCUAAUACAGUCGGGGGAUGACGGUACCGGAAGAAUAAGCACCGGCUAACUACGUGCCAGCAGCCGCGGUAAUACGUAGGGUGCGAGCGUUAAUCGGAAUUACUGGGCGUAAAGCGUGCGCAGGCGGUUUGCUAAGACCGAUGUGAAAUCCCCGGGCUCAACCUGGGAACUGCAUUGGUGACUGGCAGGCUAGAGUAUGGCAGAGGGGGGUAGAAUUCCACGUGUAGCAGUGAAAUGCGUAGAGAUGUGGAGGAAUACCGAUGGCGAAGGCAGCCCCCUGGGCCAAUACUGACGCUCAUGCACGAAAGCGUGGGGAGCAAACAGGAUUAGAUACCCUGGUAGUCCACGCCCUAAACGAUGUCAACUAGUUGUUGGGGAUUCAUUUCCUUAGUAACGUAGCUAACGCGUGAAGUUGACCGCCUGGGGAGUACGGUCGCAAGAUUAAAACUCAAAGGAAUUGACGGGGACCCGCACAAGCGGUGGAUGAUGUGGAUUAAUUCGAUGCAACGCGAAAAACCUUACCUACCCUUGACAUGGUCGGAAUCCUGC